GACGAACGCUGGCGGCGUGCCUAAUACAUGCAAGUUGAGCGCUGAAGGUUGGUACUUGUACCAACUGGAUGAGCAGCGAACGGGUGAGUAACGCGUGGGGAAUCUGCCUUUGAGCGGGGGACAACAUUUGGAAACGAAUGCUAAUACCGCAUAAAAACUUUAAACACAAGUUUUAAGUUUGAAAGAUGCAAUUGCAUCACUCAAAGAUGAUCCCGCGUUGUAUUAGCUAGUUGGUGAGGUAAAGGCUCACCAAGGCGAUGAUACAUAGCCGACCUGAGAGGGUGAUCGGCCACAUUGGGACUGAGACACGGCCCAAACUCCUACGGGAGGCAGCAGUAGGGAAUCUUCGGCAAUGGACGAAAGUCUGACCGAGCAACGCCGCGUGAGUGAAGAAGGUUUUCGGAUCGUAAAACUCUGUUGGUAGAGAAGAACGUUGGAGAGAGUGGAAAGCUCAUCAAGUGACGGUAACUACCCAGAAAGGGACGGCUAACUACGU
RNAcentral lists this ribosomal RNA (496 nucleotides) under uncultured bacterium. Its description in RNAcentral is "partial 16S ribosomal RNA". It matches the Rfam family "Bacterial small subunit ribosomal RNA", at positions 28 to 506 of the family's 1533-position model. The record is from RNAcentral.